RNAcentral lists this ribosomal RNA (433 nucleotides) under uncultured bacterium. RNAcentral describes it as "partial 16S ribosomal RNA". It matches the Rfam family "Bacterial small subunit ribosomal RNA", at positions 29 to 507 of the family's 1533-position model. The record is from RNAcentral.
AACGAACGCUGGCGGCAUGCCUAACACAUGCAAGUCGAACGAGACCUUCGGGUCUAGUGGCGCACGGGUGCGUAACGCGUGGGAACCUGCACUUAGGUUCGGAAUAACUCCCUGAAAGGGGUGCUCAUACCGGUUAAUGUCUUCGGACCAAAGAUUUCUCGCCUUUGGAUGGGCCCGCGUUGGAUUAGCUAGUUGGUAGGGUACAAGCCUGCCAAGGCGACGAUGCAUAGCUGGUCUGAGAAGAUGAUCAGCAACACUGGGACUGAGACACGGCCCAGACUCCGACGGAGAGGAGCAGUAGGGAGUAUUAGACAAUGAGCGAAAGCCUAAUCCAGCAAUGCGGCGGGAGUGAUGAAGGCCUUAGUAUUGUAAAGCUCUUUUACCCGAGAUGAUAAUGACAGUACCGGGUGAAGAAGCACCGGCUAACUCCGUG